RNAcentral lists this ribosomal RNA (465 nucleotides) under uncultured bacterium. RNAcentral's name for it is "partial 16S ribosomal RNA". It matches the Rfam family "Bacterial small subunit ribosomal RNA", at positions 28 to 507 of the family's 1533-position model. The record is from RNAcentral.
GACGAACGCUGGCGGCGUGCUUAACACAUGCAAGUCGAACGGAAAGGCCCUGCUUGCAGGGUACUCGAGUGGCGAACGGGUGAGUAACACGUGGGUGAUCUGCCCUGCACUUCGGGAUAAGCCUGGGAAACUGGGUCUAAUACCGGAUAGGAGCCAUUUUUAGUGUGAUGGUUGGAAAGUUUUUUCGGUGUAGGAUGAGCUCGCGGCCUAUCAGCUUGUUGGUGGGGUAAUGGCCUACCAAGGCGGCGACGGGUAGCCGGCCUGAGAGGGUGGACGGCCACAUUGGGACUGAGGGACGGCCCAGACUCCGACGGGAGGCAGCAGUGGGGAAUAUUGCACAAUGGGCGCAAGCCUGAUGCAGCGACGCCGCGUGGGGGAUGACGGCCUUCGGGUUGUAAACUCCUUUCGCUAGGGACGAAGCUUUUUGUGACGGUACCUAGAGAAGAAGCACCGGCUAACUACGUG